AUUGAACGCUGGCGGCAGGCCUAACACAUGCAAGUCGAGCGGAUGAAGGGAGCUUGCUCCUGGAUUCAGCGGCGGACGGGUGAGUAAUGCCUAGGAAUCUGCCUGGUAGUGGGGGAUAACGUCCGGAAACGGGCGCUAAUACCGCAUACGUCCUGAUGGAGCAAGUGGGGGAUCUUCGGACCUCACGCUAUCAGAUGAGCCUAGGUCGGAUUAGCUAGUUGGUGGGGUAAAGGCCUACCAAGGCGACGAACCGUAACUGGUCUGAGAGGAUGAUCAGUCACACUGGAACUGAGACAGGGUCCAGACUCCUACGGGAAGCAGCAGUCGGGAAUAUUGGACGAUGGGCGAGAGCCUGAUCCAGGCCUGCCGCGUAUGUGAUGAAGGUCUUCUGAUUGGAGAGCGCUGUAAGUUGGGAGGAAGUGCAGUAAGUUAAUACCUUACUGUAUUGACGGUACCAACAGAAUAAGCACCGGCUAACUUCGUG
RNAcentral lists this ribosomal RNA (484 nucleotides) under uncultured bacterium. RNAcentral's name for it is "partial 16S ribosomal RNA". It matches the Rfam family "Bacterial small subunit ribosomal RNA", at positions 30 to 507 of the family's 1533-position model. The record is from RNAcentral.